This 326-nucleotide unclassified non-coding RNA is filed under the name Metarhizium sp. RNAcentral describes it as "partial contains 5.8S ribosomal RNA, internal transcribed spacer 2, and large subunit ribosomal RNA". The stretch from base 1 to 71 matches the Rfam family "5.8S ribosomal RNA", at positions 84 to 154 of the family's 154-position model. The record is from RNAcentral. Lineage: Eukaryota; Fungi; Ascomycota; Sordariomycetes; Hypocreales; Clavicipitaceae.
GUGAAUCAUCGAAUCUUUGAACGCACAUUGCGCCCGCCAGUAUUCUGGCGGGCAUGCCUGUUCGAGCGUCAUUUCAACCCUCAAGCCCCAGCGGUUUGGUGUUGGGGACCGGCGAGUACGGAGGCGGGGGGGACUUGUCCCCUCUUCCCUCGGCGCCGCCCCCGAAAUGAAUUGGCGGUCUCGUCGCGGCCUCCUCUGCGUAGUAGCACAACCUCGCAUCAGGAGCGCGGCGCGGCCACUGCCGUAAAACGCCCAACUUUUUUAAGAGUUGACCUCGAAUCAGGUAGGAAUACCCGCUGAACUUAAGCAUAUCAAUAAGCGGAGGA